RNAcentral lists this ribosomal RNA (460 nucleotides) under uncultured bacterium. Its description in RNAcentral is "partial 16S ribosomal RNA". It matches the Rfam family "Bacterial small subunit ribosomal RNA", at positions 338 to 795 of the family's 1533-position model. The record is from RNAcentral.
CCUACGGGGGGGUGCAGUGAGGAAUAUUGGUCAAUGGACGAGAGUCUGAACCAGCCAAGUAGCGUGAAGGAUGACUGCCCUAUGGGUUGUAAACUUCUUUUAUAAAGGAAUAAAACGAGGCACGUGUGCCUUUUUGUAUGUACUUUAUGAAUAAGGAUCGGCUAACUCCGUGCCAGCAGCCGCGGUAAUACGGAGGAUCCGAGCGUUAUCCGGAUUUAUUGGGUUUAAAGGGAGCGUAGAUGGGUUGUUAAGUCAGUUGUGAAAGUUUGCGGCUCAACCGUAAAAUUGCAAUUGAUACUGGCAGUCUUGAGGACAGUUGAGGUAGGCGGAAUUCGUGGUGUAGCGGUGAAAUGCUUAGAUAUCACGAAGAACCCCGAUUGCGAAGGCAGCUUACUAAACUGUGACUGACAUUGAUGCUCGAAAGUGUGGGUAUCAAACAGGAUUAGAUACCCUUGUAGUC